RNAcentral lists this ribosomal RNA (1527 nucleotides) under Lactiplantibacillus plantarum subsp. plantarum. RNAcentral describes it as "Lactobacillus plantarum subsp. plantarum partial 16S rRNA". It matches the Rfam family "Bacterial small subunit ribosomal RNA". The record is from RNAcentral. Lineage: Bacteria; Bacillati; Bacillota; Bacilli; Lactobacillales; Lactobacillaceae.
AGAGUUUGAUCCUGGCUCAGGACGAACGCUGGCGGCGUGCCUAAUACAUGCAAGUCGAACGAACUCUGGUAUUGAUUGGUGCUUGCAUCAUGAUUUACAUUUGAGUGAGUGGCGAACUGGUGAGUAACACGUGGGAAACCUGCCCAGAAGCGGGGGAUAACACCUGGAAACAGAUGCUAAUACCGCAUAACAACUUGGACCGCAUGGUCCGAGUUUGAAAGAUGGCUUCGGCUAUCACUUUUGGAUGGUCCCGCGGCGUAUUAGCUAGAUGGUGGGGUAACGGCUCACCAUGGCAAUGAUACGUAGCCGACCUGAGAGGGUAAUCGGCCACAUUGGGACUGAGACACGGCCCAAACUCCUACGGGAGGCAGCAGUAGGGAAUCUUCCACAAUGGACGAAAGUCUGAUGGAGCAACGCCGCGUGAGUGAAGAAGGGUUUCGGCUCGUAAAACUCUGUUGUUAAAGAAGAACAUAUCUGAGAGUAACUGUUCAGGUAUUGACGGUAUUUAACCAGAAAGCCACGGCUAACUACGUGCCAGCAGCCGCGGUAAUACGUAGGUGGCAAGCGUUGUCCGGAUUUAUUGGGCGUAAAGCGAGCGCAGGCGGUUUUUUAAGUCUGAUGUGAAAGCCUUCGGCUCAACCGAAGAAGUGCAUCGGAAACUGGGAAACUUGAGUGCAGAAGAGGACAGUGGAACUCCAUGUGUAGCGGUGAAAUGCGUAGAUAUAUGGAAGAACACCAGUGGCGAAGGCGGCUGUCUGGUCUGUAACUGACGCUGAGGCUCGAAAGUAUGGGUAGCAAACAGGAUUAGAUACCCUGGUAGUCCAUACCGUAAACGAUGAAUGCUAAGUGUUGGAGGGUUUCCGCCCUUCAGUGCUGCAGCUAACGCAUUAAGCAUUCCGCCUGGGGAGUACGGCCGCAAGGCUGAAACUCAAAGGAAUUGACGGGGGCCCGCACAAGCGGUGGAGCAUGUGGUUUAAUUCGAAGCUACGCGAAGAACCUUACCAGGUCUUGACAUACUAUGCAAAUCUAAGAGAUUAGACGUUCCCUUCGGGGACAUGGAUACAGGUGGUGCAUGGUUGUCGUCAGCUCGUGUCGUGAGAUGUUGGGUUAAGUCCCGCAACGAGCGCAACCCUUAUUAUCAGUUGCCAGCAUUAAGUUGGGCACUCUGGUGAGACUGCCGGUGACAAACCGGAGGAAGGUGGGGAUGACGUCAAAUCAUCAUGCCCCUUAUGACCUGGGCUACACACGUGCUACAAUGGAUGGUACAACGAGUUGCGAACUCGCGAGAGUAAGCUAAUCUCUUAAAGCCAUUCUCAGUUCGGAUUGUAGGCUGCAACUCGCCUACAUGAAGUCGGAAUCGCUAGUAAUCGCGGAUCAGCAUGCCGCGGUGAAUACGUUCCCGGGCCUUGUACACACCGCCCGUCACACCAUGAGAGUUUGUAACACCCAAAGUCGGUGGGGUAACCUUUUAGGAACCAGCCGCCUAAGGUGGGACAGAUGAUUAGGGUGAAGUCGUAACAGGUAACC